Molecule: long non-coding RNA, 366 nt
Filed under: Physcomitrium patens
Lineage: Eukaryota; Viridiplantae; Streptophyta; Bryopsida; Funariales; Funariaceae
Description: long non-coding RNA (PPAT_LNC002947)
Source: RNAcentral
AAAUGGUUAGUUUAAGAGUUAUGAUUUUUUAAAAUUCGGGACAAGAAAACCCUUCGCGGGAAAAAUAUGUUUUGAAGGGAUUUUGUUAUAUUUUGAGUUUUAUGCAAAAUAAAGGAGUUUUAGGAGGCUAACACAAGAUUCAUAUAAAGAUUUAAGCUACACUCUCUAUAUUUAGAUACUCAGUAUAUUCCCAGAUAGCAAAUCAUGCCAUACGACAAUGAAAUGACUUGAAAUGAAACCGAAGCCUCUUUAAUUGAGACCUCAUUAAGUUGCCCAACUGAGUCAAGUUUCAUACUGGAUAAGAGGCCCAUAAUAAUACCUAGAUUGGAUGUCCCUAUAAUUGGGUCAAAUUGGCCCUUUGCGUCA